ACUCCAUUAGUAUAAUAGUAUAACUGACUUCCAAUCAGCAGGACCCAAAAGACCUUGGGAUGGAGUA
This 67-nucleotide transfer RNA is filed under the name Tupaia nicobarica (Nicobar tree shrew). RNAcentral describes it as "tRNA-Gly". Lineage: Eukaryota; Metazoa; Chordata; Mammalia; Scandentia; Tupaiidae. The record is from RNAcentral.